Molecule: transfer RNA, 72 nt
Filed under: Camelus bactrianus (Bactrian camel)
Lineage: Eukaryota; Metazoa; Chordata; Mammalia; Artiodactyla; Camelidae
Also listed under: 2 other names
Rfam family: tRNA
About the family: Transfer RNA (tRNA) molecules are approximately 80 nucleotides in length. Their secondary structure includes four short double-helical elements and three loops (D, anti-codon, and T loops).
Source: Rfam by way of RNAcentral
AGGGAAAUAGCUCAGUGGUAGAGCAAAUGCCUAGCAGGCAGGAGGUCCUGGGUUCAAUCCCCAGCACCUCCA